RNAcentral lists this ribosomal RNA (465 nucleotides) under uncultured bacterium. RNAcentral's name for it is "partial 16S ribosomal RNA". It matches the Rfam family "Bacterial small subunit ribosomal RNA", at positions 339 to 795 of the family's 1533-position model. The record is from RNAcentral.
CUACGGGACGCUGCAGUGAGGGAUUUUGCGCAAUGGGGGGAACCCUGACGCAGCAACGCCGCGUGAGUGAAGAAGGCCCUUGGGCCGUAAAGCUCUGUCAACAGGGAAGAAGUUAUGGAUCUUUAAUAGAGAUUUGUAUUGACGGUACCUGUGAAGGAAGCACCGGCUAACUCCGUGCCAGCAGCCGCGGUAAUACGGGGGGUGCAAGCGUUAUUCGGAAUUAUUGGGCGUAAAGGGCGCGCAGGCGGCCUUGUCAGUCAGAUGUGAAAGGCCAGGGCUCAACCCUGGAAGUGCAUUUGAAACAGCAAGGCUUGAGUACGGUAGAGGAAAGGGGAAUUCCUGGUGUAGAGGUGAAAUUCGUAGAUAUCAGGAGGAACACCGGUGGCGAAGGCGCCUUUCUGGACCUGUACUGACGCUGAGGCGCGAAGGCGUGGGUAGCGAACAGGAUUAGAUACCCGCGUAGUC